CAGGACAAGAUCCUUUAUUAACCUGGGGAAGAGGUUAUGCUUGUGUUUCCACAGGUCACGGCUCCCGAUGGUUACCGGCAAGGUGUGUGCGACCACACCUGAGGCGUGAGAGGCAGC
Molecule: long non-coding RNA, 117 nt
Organism: Athene cunicularia (burrowing owl)
Lineage: Eukaryota; Metazoa; Chordata; Aves; Strigiformes; Strigidae
Exons: 3
Source: RefSeq, a predicted model, not a curated record